RNAcentral lists this long non-coding RNA (556 nucleotides) under Trifolium pratense (red clover). RNAcentral's name for it is "long non-coding RNA (TPRA_LNC007248)". The record is from RNAcentral. Lineage: Eukaryota; Viridiplantae; Streptophyta; Magnoliopsida; Fabales; Fabaceae.
GCUACAACAAUCAUAGGUAUUCUCUUCUUCUCUUCACCUCUUUUGUGUGACUUAUUUGUAUGACAUUUUUUUGGUCUAAUUUUUUAUACAUUUCUAUCAUAAUUGAAUACCCUGAUUCGAGUGUUUGCAACGUGUAUAACCUUAAUACAUGGUUUCUAAUUUUGAUUAUAAUUGUUUUCAUUGUUUAUUGCAGAUUCAUGAUCCAGUAAAAAGAUAAGAAUGGUAUACCAUCUAUAUAUGUGAUUGAUCUGUGGUUUUUAUUUAUUUAUUUGGUCAAGAUCUAUGGUUUUUAUUUUAUAUUGGUAUUUCUAGACAUCUAUAUCUUUUUUUUUUUACAAUAGACAUCUAUAUCUUACAUGUUAAGAAGAUGAAAUAAUUACAUGUAGUAGACAUCUAUAUUAAUUGACCUCUCUGUUGUUGAGAAGAUAAAAUAUUAUAUUUAUCUUACAUGUUUAUUGAACCUCUCUAUUGUUAUGAAAUAAAAAUUUGGAACUCUCUAUUUUUUUAAUUCUUUUUAUAUGUAUUUUUUCAUCUCUCAUUCUUUAUUCUUUUGGUU